This 497-nucleotide ribosomal RNA is filed under the name uncultured bacterium. Its description in RNAcentral is "partial 16S ribosomal RNA". It matches the Rfam family "Bacterial small subunit ribosomal RNA", at positions 28 to 507 of the family's 1533-position model. The record is from RNAcentral.
GAUGAACGCUGGCGGCGUGCCUAAUACAUGCAAGUCGAGCGAACAGAUGAGGAGCUUGCUCCUCUGACGUUAGCGGCGGGCGGGUGAGUAACACGUGGAUAACCUACCUAUAAGACUGGGAUAACUUCGGGAAACCGGAGCUAAUACCGGAUAAUAUAUUGAACCGCAUGGUUCAAUAGUGAAAGACGGUUCUGCUGUCACUUAUAGAUGGAUCCGCGCCGCAUUAGCUAGUUGGUAAGGUAAUGGCUUACCAAGGCAACGAUGCGUAGCCGACCUGAGAGGGUGAUCGGCCACACUGGAACUGAGACACGGUCCAGACUCCUACGGGAGGCAGCAGUAGGGAAUCUUCCGCAAUGGGCGAAAGCCUGACGGAGCAACGCCGCGUGAGUGAUGAAGGUCUUCGGAUCGUAAAACUCUGUUAUUAGGGAAGAACAAAUGUGUAAGUAACUAUGCACGUCUUGACGGUACCUAAUCAGAAAGCCACGGCUAACUACGUG